CGAAGUAAGAAAGGGCGUACGGUGGAUGCCUAGGCUCUCACAGGCGAUGAAGGACGUGAUAAGCUGCGAUAAGCUUCGGGGAGGUGCAAAUGACCUUUGAUCCGGAGAUUUCCGAAUGGGACAACCCGGCAGGCUGAAGGCCUGUCAUCCGAUGCAUAUCGGAGGCGAACGCGGGGAACUGAAACAUCUUAGUACCCGCAGGAAGAGAAAAUAAAAAUGAUUCCCCUAGUAGUGGCGAGCGAACGGGGAAGAGCCCAAACCGCUGCGGUUCUGGCCGCGGCGGGGUUGUAGGACUGCGAUAUCGAGAAGAAGAAGUGAGUGGAACGUACUGGAAAGUGCGGCCAUAGCGGGUGAUAGCCCCUUACACGAAGCCUCUUUCAUCGUAGCAGUAUCCUGAGUAGCGCGGGACACGUGAAAUCCUGUGUGAAUCCGGCGGGCCCAUCCGCCAAGGCUAAAUACUCGUGAGAGACCGAUAGUGAACCAGUACCGUGAGGGAAAGGUGAAAAGCACCGCGCGCAGCGGAGUGAAAUAGUCCCUGAACCCGUACGCCUACAAGCGGUCGGAGCAACUUUAUGUUGUGACGGCGUGCCUUUUGCAUAAUGAACCUACGAGUUGCCGUCGCCGGCGAGGUUAAGCGCAAUGAUGCGCGCAGCCGAAGCGAAAGCGAGUCUUAAACGGGCGCAUAGUCCGCGGCGGCAGACGCGAAACCGAGUGAUCUACCCUUGUCCAGGCUGAAGUCCGGGUAACACCGGAUGGAGGGCCGAACCAAUAAGCGUUGAAAAGCUUCUGGAUGAGGUGAGGGUAGGAGUGAAAGGCCAAUCAAACUCGGAGAUAGCUCGUACUCCCCGAAAUGCAUUUAGGUGCAGCCCCCGUUGUUUCCUGCAUGAGGUAGAGCGACUGAUCGGAUGCGAGGGCUUCACCGCCUAUCAAGUCCGGACAAACUCCGAAUGCGUGCAGGUCAGAGACGGGGAGUGAGGGCAUGGGUGCUAAGGUCCGUGCCCGAGAGGAGAAGAAUCCAGACCGCCGGCUAAGGUCCCGAAUUACAGGUUAAGUUAGUCUAACGAAGUGUUGUCCCGAAGACAGCUAGGAUGUUGGCUUGGAAGCAGCCAUUCAUUCAAAGAGUGCGUAACAGCUCACUAGUCGAGGGACGUCGCAUGGAUAAUAAUCGGGUAUGAAAUCUGUAACCGAAGCCGCGGGAUGUCUUAAGACAUCGGUAGGGGAGCAUUCCACCGGCGUUGAAUGUCGAAGAUGACUUCGGCUGGAGCUUGUGGAAAAGCAAAUGUAGGUAUAAGUAACGAUAAAGAGGGUUAGAUGCCCUCUCGCCGAAAGACCAAGGAUUCCCGGGCAACGUUAAUCGCCCCGGGGUUAGUCGGGCCCUAAGGAUAAGCCGAACGGCGAGGCCGAUGGAAGAAACGGUUAAUAUUCCGUUACUGCCUUGCAUGGCGAUGUGGAGACGGAGAAGUGACACUUCCGCGCACUGACGGAAACGUGCGUUGAAGAGUGUAGGCGUAGAUCGUGGUAGGCAAAUCCGCCGCGAGAGCCGAACUUGACAGUACGCAAAGCCUUCGGGCGGCGCGAUAGCGAAGGUAAGCAUGCUCCCGAGAAAAUCCGCUAAGCUUAACAUGCAAGGUACCCGUACCGUAAACGGACACACGUGGUCGGGUAGAAAAUACUAAGGCGCUUGGAAGAUUCACGGUUAAGGAACUAGGCAAAUUGACCCCGUACCUUCGGAAUAAGGGGUCCUCACAGCGAUGUGAGGCGCAGAGAAUAGGUCCAGGCAACUGUUUAACAAAAACACAGGGCUGUGCAAAUUCGAAAGAUGAAGUAUACAGCCUGACACCUGCCCGGUGCUGGAAGGUUAAGAGGAGAUGUCACCGCAAGGGAAGCAUCGAAUUGAAGCCCCAGUAAACGGCGGCCGUAACUAUAACGGUCCUAAGGUAGCGAAAUUCCUUGUCGGGUAAGUUCCGACCUGCACGAAUGG
RNAcentral lists this ribosomal RNA (1981 nucleotides) under human gut metagenome. Its description in RNAcentral is "bacterial LSU rRNA". It matches the Rfam family "Bacterial large subunit ribosomal RNA", at positions 1 to 1999 of the family's 2925-position model. The record is from RNAcentral.